Cotesia glomerata is the source of this 101-nucleotide long non-coding RNA. RefSeq lists it as uncharacterized. The transcript is spliced from 3 exons. The record is from RefSeq and is a predicted model, not a curated record. NCBI's taxonomy places the organism in Eukaryota, Metazoa, Arthropoda, Insecta, Hymenoptera, Braconidae.
CCAAAAAAGUUAAGGGGUUAACCUUUCAGUACCCACGUUCUUUUUAGUGUCUCACUUGCACUGCAGCGACAUCCUAUAAGUUGAAUGUUGUUGCGUGAGAA